RNAcentral lists this long non-coding RNA (535 nucleotides) under Coturnix japonica (Japanese quail). Its description in RNAcentral is "lncRNA (ENSCJPG00005007001.1)". The record is from RNAcentral. Lineage: Eukaryota; Metazoa; Chordata; Aves; Galliformes; Phasianidae.
UUCAAAUUUGGUAAAAUGGACUGCUUUGGUGUUAAGAUAUGCAAAUAAUAGGUAGAUACUCUGUUCUAUUCUUGUAACUGAAAUCUAACAAGACUAAGGUCACAAACAUCUUUCUUUUGUUUUUUUUCUUUUAGGUAAGUCAUUGCUACAUGUCUGCCAGAAGGGAUUGUGUCCAAACACCAAGUUAUGUCAUGCUCUCUGCUCUUGGCUACUCAACAUGCCCAGCAAAGACCCCUUGAGUUGAAAUCACUCUUGGCAUCAACAGAUUUCUUCCUACUCCAUCUCAGCAGAAGUUUAAGAAGCUGUUUGCAAUACGCAUAUAGCUUAACCUGAUCUCAGCUGUCCAAAGCAAAGACAAAACAAAACACAGCAACAACACAGAAAGCAACCAUCUAAACACACAGAAAAGAAAUUCAGAGCUACAGGGGAUUAAAUUGUCAGAAAUGUAAGUAUAAAUGUAAGUAAAAUCUUCUCUGCUUGCUAUUUUAGUCCAAUCAGACACAGUUUGCUCAUAAUAAAAAAUAAAUUUGAAACA